GGGUUGGCUUUGUGGACGUAUGUUUUACAAACUCGGUCAGGUUCGGAAGAAAGCAGCCGUCGUAAAAGCCAUGCGGGUCAUGGAUGUCCGGCCUCUC
This 97-nucleotide signal recognition particle RNA is filed under the name Alphaproteobacteria bacterium. RNAcentral describes it as "signal recognition particle sRNA small type". It matches the Rfam family "Bacterial small signal recognition particle RNA". Rfam says of the family: The signal recognition particle (SRP) is a universally conserved ribonucleoprotein involved in the co-translational targeting of proteins to membranes. Archaeal SRP consists of a 7S RNA and homologues of the eukaryotic SRP19 and SRP54 proteins. In most bacteria, the SRP consists of a 4.5S RNA and the Ffh protein (a homologue of the eukaryotic SRP54 protein). The record is from RNAcentral. Lineage: Bacteria; Pseudomonadati; Pseudomonadota; Alphaproteobacteria.